AUCAUGGCUCAGGAUGAACGCUGGCGGCGUGCCUAACACAUGCAAGUCGAACGGACCUUGCUUUCGGGUGAGGUGAGUGGCGGACGGGUGCGUAACACGUAGGUGACCUGCCCUGGAGUGGGGAAUAAUUCCGCGAAAGCGGGACUAAUACCGCAUGCGGUCGCACAUUCGCUUGGGCGACCAAAGCCUUCGGGCGCUCUGGGAUGGGCCUGCGGCGGAUUAGCUGGUUGGUGGGGUAAUGGCCUACCAAGGCGAUGAUCCGUAGGGGGGUGAGAGCGUGACCCCCCACAUUGGCACUGAGACACGGGCCAAACUCCUACGGGAGGCAGCAGUGAGGAAUAUUGCACAAUGGGCGCAAGCCUGAUGCAGCAACGCCGCGUGAGGGUACGAAGGCCCUCGGGUCGUAAACCUAUUUUUUGGGGGUACGAGACAGGAACGGUACCUCAGGAAGUAAAUACGGGCCUAACUUACAGU
Molecule: ribosomal RNA, 474 nt
Filed under: uncultured bacterium
Lineage: Bacteria
Description: bacterial SSU rRNA
Rfam family: Bacterial small subunit ribosomal RNA
Source: RNAcentral